AUGUCACCUGCAUUGUCAAAUAAGAAGAAAAAAAUGGUGUUAUUAAAAGGUGACAAAUUAAAUAUUGUGUAUAAAAUAAAAGGUAAAUUAAGUUUUUGGUCCCUAUAAAUAUCUGCAGUUUUGUUUUUAGUUUCUAUAGAAAUAAAUCACAUUUUUUAGUCCUUACAAAAUUUUCCGUUAGUGUUUUUAGUCCCUGUUAAAUUAAAAUUUGUUUAAUUAUGCUUAAAAUUUUAAAUUUUUUAAUAAUUUUUUACAUACUUGUUUAAAACAUUAUAAAACGUUCCGCCACAAUAAAUUAGCUCAAAAUUUUAUUUUUAGGUCCAAAUUUUCGUUAGUUUUAUCUUGAAAUUUUGGCGUUUUAAAAAAAUUAUAUUUAAUUCAUUACAUGUUAAAAAAUUCUAAUUUUUUAUAAAAGAGAUUAUUAUAAUGUUCUUAACAUGUCUGUUAAAAAUCAUUUAAAAAUAUAAAAGUUUAAGUAUA
This 480-nucleotide long non-coding RNA is filed under the name Medicago truncatula (barrel medic). RNAcentral's name for it is "lncRNA gene22816". The record is from RNAcentral. Lineage: Eukaryota; Viridiplantae; Streptophyta; Magnoliopsida; Fabales; Fabaceae.